Molecule: ribosomal RNA, 253 nt
Filed under: uncultured bacterium
Lineage: Bacteria
Description: partial 16S ribosomal RNA
Rfam family: Bacterial small subunit ribosomal RNA
Source: RNAcentral
UACGUAGGGUGCAAGCGUUGUCCGGAAUUAUUGGGCGUAAAGAGCUCGUAGGCGGUCUGUCGCGUCGGCUGUGAAAACUCGGGGCUCAACCCCGAGCCUGCAGUCGAUACGGGCAGACUAGAGUGCUGUAGGGGAGACUGGAAUUCCUGGUGUAGCGGUGAAAUGCGCAGAUAUCCGGAAGAACACCGGUGGCGAAGGCGGCCUGCUGGGCAGUAGCUGACACUGAGGCGCGACAGCGUGGGGAGCAAACAGG